AAGAAACCAACAGGGAUUGCCUCAGUAACGGCGAGUGAAGCGGCAACAGCUCAAAUUUGAAAGCUGGCCCCCCCGGGGGUCCGCGUUGUAAUUUGUAGAGGAUGAUUCGGCGAGGGCUCCCGCCUAAGUCCCCUGGAACGGGGCGUCAUAGAGGGUGAGAAUCCCGUAUGCGGUGGGCUGCCUUAGCCAUGUGAAUCUCCUUCGACGAGUCGAGUUGUUUGGGAAUGCAGCUCUAAAUGGGAGGUAAAUUUCUUCUAAAGCUAAAUACCGGCCAGAGACCGAUAGCGCACAAGUAGAGUGAUCGAAAGAUGAAAAGCACUUUGGAAAGAGAGUUAAAAAGUACGUGAAAUUGUUGAAAGGGAAGCGCUUGCAGCCAGACUUGUCCGCAGUUGCUCAGCCGGUCUCCUGACCGGCGCACUCUUCUGCGGCCAGGCCAGCAUCAGUUCGGGCGGUCGGAUAAAGGCCCCGGGAACGUAGCUCCUCUCGGGGAGUGUUAUAGCCCGGGGUGGAAUGCGGCCAGCCUGGACUGAGGAUCUCGCUUCGGCUAGGAUGCUGGCGUAAUGGCUGUAAGCGGCCCGUCUUGAAACACGGACCAAGGAGUCUAACAUCUAUGCGAGUGUUUGGGUGUCAAACCCAUGCGCGUAAUGAAAGUGAACGGAGGUGGGAACCCUCGCGGGUGCACCAUCGACCGAUCCUGAUGUCUUCGGAUGGAUUUGAGUAAGAGCAUAGCUGUUGGGACCCGAAAGAUGGUGAACUAUGCCUGAAUAGGGUGAAGCCAGAGGAAACUCUGGUGGAGGCUCGCAGCGGUUCUGACGUGCAAAUCGAUCGUCAAAUUUGGGUAUAGGGGCGAAAGACUAAUCGAACCAUCGACUACUAGGUGGUUAAGAGGUGGCUGAAAGUGCCCACCUAGUCCCCCCGUCCUCGGACGGGGGGGCGACAUCGCCAAAUUGCGGGGACUCCCUUAGAGCCUCUACUACCGCGGCCGGCCGAAAGGCGCGGUGCAGCACCGGGUUAAUUGCCUAGGGUACGGUAAAAAGGUAGAGGAUUGGGAAAUCCGCAGCCAAGCGCCUAAGUCCCGCGGGAUACGGCGAAGGUUCAGAGACUAGAUGGCGGUGGGUCCGGCCCGAGGGCCGGGCCUAAGGUAUAGUCCACCCCCCGCGGAGACGCGGGCGGAUCC
This 1177-nucleotide ribosomal RNA is filed under the name Neoscytalidium dimidiatum. Its description in RNAcentral is "eukaryotic LSU rRNA". It matches the Rfam family "Eukaryotic large subunit ribosomal RNA", at positions 59 to 1049 of the family's 3401-position model. The record is from RNAcentral. Lineage: Eukaryota; Fungi; Ascomycota; Dothideomycetes; Botryosphaeriales; Botryosphaeriaceae.